This 811-nucleotide ribosomal RNA is filed under the name uncultured bacterium. RNAcentral describes it as "partial 16S ribosomal RNA". It matches the Rfam family "Bacterial small subunit ribosomal RNA", at positions 36 to 869 of the family's 1533-position model. The record is from RNAcentral.
CUGGCGGCGGCUUACACAUGCAAGUCGAGCGGAAACGAAGGGAGCUUGCUCCCAGGCGUCGAGCGGCGGACGGGUGAGUAACGCGUAGGAAUCUGCCUGAUAGAGGGGGAUAGCCCGGGGAAACCCGGAUUAAUACCGCAUACGCCCUAAGGGGGAAAGCAGGGGACCUUCGGACCUUGCGCUAUCAGACGGGCCCGCGUCUGAUUAGCUAGUUGGUGAGGUAAUAGCUCACCAAGGCUAUGACGGAUACCUGGUCUGAGAGGAUGAUCAGGCACAAUGGAACUGAGACACGGACCAUACUCCUACGGGAGGCAGCAGUGAGGAAUCUUCCACAAUGGACGAAAGUCUGAUGGAGCGACACCGCGUGAAGGAUGAAGGCCUAACGGUUGUAAACUUCUUUUCUGAAGGAGCAUAAUGAGAGUACUUCAGGAAUAAGGGACGGCUAAAUACGUGCCAGCAGCCGCGGUAAUACGUAUGUCCCAAGCGUUACCCGGAAUCACUGGGUGUAAAGGGUUCGUAGGUGGAAAUUUAAGUCAGGUAUGAAAGACCGGAGCUCAACUCCGAGUUUGUGCUUGAAACUGGAUUUCUAGAAUCAGGGAGAGGUAAGCGGAAUUCUAAGUGUAGGGGUGCAAUCCGUAGAUACUUAGAGGAACACCAAAAGCGAAGGCAGCUUACUGGAACCGUAUUGACGCUCAUGAACGAAAGCGUGGGUAGCGAAAAGGAUUAGAUACCCUUGUAGUCCACGCCCUAAACGAUGAUAACUAAGUGUUGCGACUAGCUCGCAGUGCUGUAGCUAACGCGUUAAGUUAUC